RNAcentral lists this ribosomal RNA (555 nucleotides) under Clostridioides difficile. Its description in RNAcentral is "bacterial SSU rRNA". It matches the Rfam family "Bacterial small subunit ribosomal RNA", at positions 243 to 816 of the family's 1533-position model. The record is from RNAcentral. Lineage: Bacteria; Bacillati; Bacillota; Clostridia; Peptostreptococcales; Peptostreptococcaceae.
AGCUAGUUGGUAAGGUAACGGCUUACCAAGGCGACGAUCAGUAGCCGACCUGAGAGGGUGAUCGGCCACAUUGGAACUGAGACACGGUCCAAACUCCUACGGGAGGCAGCAGUGGGGAAUAUUGCACAAUGGGCGAAAGCCUGAUGCAGCAACGCCGCGUGAGUGAUGAAGGCCUUCGGGUCGUAAAACUCUGUCCUCAAGGAAGAUAAUGACGGUACUUGAGGAGGAAGCCCCGGCUAACUACGUGCCAGCAGCCGCGGUAAUACGUAGGGGGCUAGCGUUAUCCGGAUUUACUGGGCGUAAAGGGUGCGUAGGCGGUCUUUCAAGUCAGGAGUGAAAGGCUACGGCUCAACCGUAGUAAGCUCUUGAAACUGGGAGACUUGAGUGCAGGAGAGGAGAGUGGAAUUCCUAGUGUAGCGGUGAAAUGCGUAGAUAUUAGGAGGAACACCAGUUGCGAAGGCGGCUCUCUGGACUGUAACUGACGCUGAGGCACGAAAGCGUGGGGAGCAAACAGGAUUAGAUACCCUGGUAGUCCACGCUGUAAACGAUGAGUAC